This 464-nucleotide ribosomal RNA is filed under the name uncultured bacterium. Its description in RNAcentral is "bacterial SSU rRNA". It matches the Rfam family "Bacterial small subunit ribosomal RNA", at positions 29 to 506 of the family's 1533-position model. The record is from RNAcentral.
ACGAACGUUGGCGGCGUGCCUAAUACAUGCAAGUCGAGCGAGAAAGCCGGGGCAACUCGGCGAGUACAGCGGCGGAAGGGUGCGUAAUACAUGGAUAACGUACCUCCCAGUUGGGGAUAACCCUCCGAAAGGUGGGCUAAUACCGAAUGAUGGCGCGGGGCGGCAUCACCCUGCGCUCAACGACGCAAGUCGCUGGGAGAGCGGUCCAUGGCCUAUCAGCUAGUUGGCGGGGUAACGGCCCACCAAGGCAAUGACGGGUAGCCGGACUGAGAGGUUGAACGGCCACACGGGAACUGAGACACGGUCCCGACAUCUACGGAUGGCAGCAGUAGGGAAUCUUGCGCAAUGGGCGAAAGCCUGACGCAGCGACGCCGCGUGGGGGAUGAAGGCCUUCGGGUUGUAAACCCCUUUCAUGAGGGAAGAACACUGACCUAACCUCAGGAAGAAGCACCGGCUAACUCCGU